UUAUUAUUAUAAUUUCGUAUGUAAAAACAAAAAAUAUUUAUUUAUUUAUUUUAUGUUAUCUAACUUAAUUGAAGAGAAAAACAUACAUAUACAGGGUGUUCCACAGUCACCGCCCCAAAUGAAAACCAUGGAUUCCUGAAGUCAUUUUAAGUCGAAAAACUUAAGAGGAAAUUGAUGAUAUCCCCCUAGAAUGUGUGCUUGAAGAAAAUAUUUCGGAUAACAUCAUGGCAACUUUGCCAAAACCGACCAACGUUUUGACUAAUUGUUUGGACACCCCAUCAACCUUCAAUUCAACACAGGAGAUUGAUGAUAUCCCCCUAGAAUGUGUGCUUGAAGAAAAUGUUGAAGCGGUAAUUAACGUGGGAAUAGACGACGCAAUUAGUUCGCCAAAACGAAAUAACUUUCGUGAAAACGAAGGGAAAUUAAUUGCAAGAGAAGUUCAAACGGAUAUCCAAUUUUAGGAUAUAACAGAAAUUGAAAUUUUGGACAUUAAAACUAUGGAUAAGUCUGUUAUGACUGAUCCUGAAAUUUCAACGACUACAUAUAAGUCUAUAGGAGUUCAAACAGAUAUCCAAUUGGAGGAUAUAACGGAAGUUGAAAUUUUGGAUAUCUCGCAUAGUUCUCUAGUAAUUCAAACUGAACUGUGCAUGGCUGACAUCGAAAUUUUCGAAAUGAAACUAAAAGAAGCCCAAUAUAAACUGGAUAUGAAGGAUCAAAAAAUUGCAGAGUUACAAAAGGAGAUUACAGCUAAGAAAAUGGGGAUGGACUUUUUUCGGGAUGAUGACAACAAAACAAAAUAUUUUUCAGGAUUGCCUUUUUUUUAACACUUAAUACUAUUUUUUAUGCCAUAGAACCCAAUCAUCCACAUUGUUUAGCUAAAAAUCUAAAUAAAUUUCAGAUGCUCAUCCUGACACUGGUGAAGUUGCGACUAUAUCUCCCAUUCACUUUACUUGGAUACAUUUGUGGAAUUUCGACGCCAACAGCGUCAAAAAAAUUUCAUGAGUGUAUCCUAGUUUUAAUAUGGAGAUGAAUGCAUUCAUCAGAUGGCCUGAUAUCAACGCAAGAAAAUACUUCACGCCGUUCAGCUUCAAAAAUCUUUUCGGCGAUAAAAUAGCGGUGAUUAUAGAUUGCUUUGAAAUCAGAAUAGAGAGGUCCGGAGAUCCAGUGGCAGGAGCGGCAACUUACUCGUCAUAUAAGAGCUCCGAAACCAUCAAAUACUUGAUUGGAAUAGCUCCAAGUGGGAGCAUUAGCUAUAUUUCAAAAGGAUAUGGUGGCAGGACCAGUGACAAGUGUGUUGCCGAAAACUCGGGUUUCUUGGACUUCAUUAAACCAGGAGAUAUAGUGCUAUCUGACCGAGGAUUCAUAUUUAAUGAGGCGGUCAAAAGAAAAGGAGCAGAGUUGAGGACACCUGCAUUUCUGGAAGGAAAACCACAGCUUGACGCUUAUUCAGUUGAGUAUUCAAAAAAUUUAUCUACAGCCUUGUAUAUAAAAACUAUAGUACUAUCAUGAAUUCAAUCGACUGAAGCGCCGUCUGGUUCAAGAGAGCGGACCUAUUCCUGGAAUGAUUUAGGCAGGAGUGGGGGACUAGGAAUAAUCAGAUAAUGAAGGAGUCACCAAAAUGUUGGAAUAUUAUUUAAAUAUUGGAAUAUUAUUUAAAUUUUCAAUUUGGGGGGGAAUGUCACUAUUUAGCUUUGUAGAUAGAGAGAGAUAGGAAGAUGUAUAAGCAGAAAUGGAAGUUGUUUAUAAAAAAUAAUAAAAAAAAAAACAAAAACGUACAACCACGGUUACCCAUAAGUCAAAUUUUUUUUUUUUUUGUAAUUAAACAAUUUAGAUUUCUAAGAUCUUAUUUUGUUUUUGUUUUAAAAUAAAAUAAAAAAUGGGAAAUUAAAUACACAUUUCGAAAAAAAAACAAGGAAAAUAUAAAAAAGUUAUAAAAUUCUCCCAUCGGAACAUGAUGUCGAGAAACAUUUAAUAUUUUUUUAAUUUAAUUCAGAUUUCAAUUUUUUUUCAAAACGAAAAUUACAUAACCGUCAGAAACAAAGUAAACAAGUUCUAAAAUGUGUAAAAUAUUUAUUCGCAUCUUCUCAAGUAAUAGCGUUGUAAACUAAACACAUAGGUACAAAAUAAUGAAACAUCAAAUUUAAAAAGUGAUUUCGAUUUUAGUUAAAUUUGACGAAUGUGGCAAUCACGUGUGAAUUAAAAUUUAAAAUUGUAUUCUUCUUUGGAAAUGUUUGUUUUUUUUUGUAUUCUUCUUUUUAAAAUAUUUUUUUCUUGUUUCCUAGGUGAUUGCUGUCGAAUAGAAUAUUUUGUUUUGAAAACUUGAAUACAUUUUUGUUUUGUAUUUUUUAUUCUUACGCAAUGU
This is a long non-coding RNA of Episyrphus balteatus (marmalade hoverfly), 2362 nucleotides long. RefSeq lists it as uncharacterized. NCBI's taxonomy places the organism in Eukaryota, Metazoa, Arthropoda, Insecta, Diptera, Syrphidae. The record is from RefSeq and is a predicted model, not a curated record. The transcript is spliced from 4 exons.